UUAAUUCGAUGCAACGCGAAGAACCUUACUACCCUUGACAUGUCCGGAACUUGCCAGAGAUGGCUUGGGUGCCCGAAAGGGAAUCGGAACACAGGUGCUGCAUGGCUGUCGUCAGCUCGUGUCGUGAGAUGUUGGGUUAAGUCCCGCAACGAGCGCAACCCUUAUCAUUAGUUGCUACGCAAGGGCACUCUAGUGAGACUGCCGGUGACAAACCGGAGGAAGGUGGGGAUGACGUCAAGUCCUCAUGGCCCUUAUGGGUAGGGCUUCACACGUCAUACAAUGGUCGGUACAGAGGGUUGCCAAGCCGCGAGGCGGAGCCAAUCCCACAAAGCCGAUCGUAGUCCGGAUUGUUCUCUGCAACUCGAGAGCAUGAAGUCGGAAUCGCUAGUAAUCGCAGGUCAGCAUACUGCGGUGAAUACGUUCCCGGGCCUU
RNAcentral lists this ribosomal RNA (432 nucleotides) under uncultured Thiobacillus sp. RNAcentral's name for it is "bacterial SSU rRNA". It matches the Rfam family "Bacterial small subunit ribosomal RNA", at positions 946 to 1382 of the family's 1533-position model. The record is from RNAcentral. Lineage: Bacteria; Pseudomonadati; Pseudomonadota; Betaproteobacteria; Nitrosomonadales; Thiobacillaceae.